Molecule: ribosomal RNA, 433 nt
Filed under: uncultured bacterium
Lineage: Bacteria
Description: partial 16S ribosomal RNA
Rfam family: Bacterial small subunit ribosomal RNA
Source: RNAcentral
AGCGAACGCUGGCGGCAGGCCUAACACAUGCAAGUCGAACGAACUCUUCGGAGUUAGUGGCGGACGGGUGCGUAACACGUGGGAACGUGCCUUUUGGUUCGGAAUAACUCAGGGAAACUUGUGCUAAUACCGAAUGUGCCCUUCGGGGGAAAGAUUUAUCGCCAUUAGAUGGGCCCGCGUCUGAUUAGCUAGUUGGUGAGGUAACGGCUCACCAAGGCGACGAUCAGUAGCUGGUCUGAGAGGAUGACCAGCCACACUGGGACUGAGACACGGCCCAGACUCCUACGGGAGGCAGCAGUGGGGAAUCUUGCGCAAUGGGCGAAAGCCUGACGCAGCAAUGCCGCGUGAAUGAUGAAGGUCUUAGGAUUGUAAAAUUCUUUCACCGGGGACGAUAAUGACGGUACCCGGAGAAGAAGCCCCGGCUAACUUCGUG